This 267-nucleotide ribosomal RNA is filed under the name Neogloboquadrina pachyderma. Its description in RNAcentral is "partial small subunit ribosomal RNA". It matches the Rfam family "Eukaryotic small subunit ribosomal RNA", at positions 1193 to 1412 of the family's 1831-position model. The record is from RNAcentral. Lineage: Eukaryota; Foraminifera; Rotaliida; Globorotaliidae.
CUAUUUGACUCAACGCGGGAAAUCUUACCGGGUCCGGACACACUGAGGAUUGACAGGCAAUAUCUCAUGUUUCAUUAACCGUUAUUAACGUAUCGGUUAUUUCCUUAACAUCGAGUGUUAAAUAUGCUAGUCCUUUCAUGAUUGUGUGAUAGGUGGUGCAUGGCCGUUCUUAGUUCGUGGAGUGAUCUGUCUGCUUAAUUGCGUUUCACUAAGGGCCCAUAAAUUCAAGGUAUGUUAGCUAUCGCCGCUCUAUGGACCCCUUAACUU